AGCGAACGCUGGCGGCAGGCCUAACACAUGCAAGUCGAACGAUCCUUCGGGAUAGUGGCGGACGGGUGAGUAACACGUGGGAACGUGCCUUUUGGUUCGGAACAACUCAGGGAAACUUGAGCUAAUACCGAAUGUGCCCUUCGGGGAAAGGAUUUAUCGCCAUUAGAGCGGCCCGCGUCUGAUUAGCUUGUUGGUGAGGU
RNAcentral lists this ribosomal RNA (200 nucleotides) under uncultured bacterium. Its description in RNAcentral is "partial 16S ribosomal RNA". It matches the Rfam family "Bacterial small subunit ribosomal RNA", at positions 29 to 258 of the family's 1533-position model. The record is from RNAcentral.